This 67-nucleotide transfer RNA is filed under the name Olea europaea subsp. europaea. RNAcentral describes it as "tRNA.Thr". The record is from RNAcentral. Lineage: Eukaryota; Viridiplantae; Streptophyta; Magnoliopsida; Lamiales; Oleaceae.
UGAGGGGUAGCUCAGUGGUCAGACCUUGGGUUUGUUCCCCAAUGGUUACUAGUUCGAGUCCCCUCAG